Molecule: transfer RNA, 76 nt
Filed under: Pseudomonadales bacterium
Lineage: Bacteria; Pseudomonadati; Pseudomonadota; Gammaproteobacteria; Pseudomonadales
Description: tRNA-Arg
Rfam family: tRNA
About the family: Transfer RNA (tRNA) molecules are approximately 80 nucleotides in length. Their secondary structure includes four short double-helical elements and three loops (D, anti-codon, and T loops).
Source: RNAcentral
GCCGGAAUAGCUCAGUUGGCAGAGCAGUUGCUUCCUAAGCAAUUCGUUGGAGGUUCAAGUCCUCUUUCCGACACCA